AAACCAGCACCUCAAGUGGUCAGGAUGAUUAUUGGGCCUAAAGCAUCCGUAGCCUGCUCUGUAAGUUUUCGGUUAAAUCUGUAUGCUCAACAUACAGGCUGCCGGGAAUACUGCAGAGCUAGGGAGUGGGAGAGGUAGACGGUACUCGGGAGGAAGUGGUAAAAUGCUUUGAUCUCUCGAUGACCACCUGUGGCGAAGGCGGUCUACCAGAACACGUCCGACGGUGAGGGAUGAAAGCUGGGGGAGCAAACCGGAUUAGAAACCCGGGUAGUCC
RNAcentral lists this ribosomal RNA (274 nucleotides) under uncultured bacterium. RNAcentral describes it as "partial 16S ribosomal RNA". It matches the Rfam family "Archaeal small subunit ribosomal RNA", at positions 473 to 747 of the family's 1478-position model. The record is from RNAcentral.